Molecule: transfer RNA, 78 nt
Filed under: Providencia stuartii
Lineage: Bacteria; Pseudomonadati; Pseudomonadota; Gammaproteobacteria; Enterobacterales; Morganellaceae
Also listed under: 3 other names
Description: tRNA-Met
Rfam family: tRNA
About the family: Transfer RNA (tRNA) molecules are approximately 80 nucleotides in length.
Source: RNAcentral
CGCGGGGUGGAGCAGCUUGGUAGCUCGUCGGGCUCAUAACCCGAAGGUCGUCGGUUCAAAUCCGGCCCCCCGCAACCA